UACGGAGGAUCCAAGCGUUAUCCGGAAUUACUGGGCGUAAAGAGUUGCGUAGGUGGCAUAGUAAGUAGAUAGUGAAAGCGUGUGGCUCAACCAUACAUCCAUUAUCUAAACUGCUAAGCUAGAGUAUGAGAGAGGUAGAUGGAAUUCCCUGUGUAGGAGUGAAAUCCGUAGAUAUAGGGAGGAACACCGAUGGCGUAGGCAGUCUACUGGCUCAUUACUGACACUAAGGCACGAAAGCGUGGGGAGCAAACGGG
This 254-nucleotide ribosomal RNA is filed under the name uncultured bacterium. RNAcentral's name for it is "partial 16S ribosomal RNA". It matches the Rfam family "Bacterial small subunit ribosomal RNA", at positions 524 to 776 of the family's 1533-position model. The record is from RNAcentral.